Molecule: ribosomal RNA, 327 nt
Filed under: uncultured soil bacterium
Lineage: Bacteria
Description: bacterial SSU rRNA
Rfam family: Bacterial small subunit ribosomal RNA
Source: RNAcentral
AGGACGAACGCUGGCGGCGUGCUUAACACAUGCAAGUCGAGCGGAAAGGCCCUUCGGGGUACUCGAGCGGCGAACGGGUGAGUAACACGUGAGUAAUCUGCCCAUCGCUUCAGGAUAGCCAUCGGAAACGGUGAUUAAUACUGGAUAUGACAUUCCUUCGCAUGUUGGGGUGUGGAAAGUUUUUUCGGCGGUGGAUGUGCUCGCGGCCUAUCAGCGUUGUUGGUGGGUAAUGGCCUACCAAGGCUUUGACGGGUAGCCGGCUGAGAGGGUGACCGGCCACGACUGGGACUGGAGACCACCGGCCCAGACCUCCGUAACGGGAGCAGC